RNAcentral lists this ribosomal RNA (390 nucleotides) under fungal sp. RNAcentral describes it as "SSU rRNA". It matches the Rfam family "Eukaryotic small subunit ribosomal RNA", at positions 828 to 1217 of the family's 1831-position model. The record is from RNAcentral. Lineage: Eukaryota; Fungi.
CUUUGUUUCUAUUUUGUUGGUUUUCAGAAACGAAGUAAUGAUUAAUAGGGACAGUUGGGGGCAUUAGUAUUCCAUAGUCAGAGGUGAAAUUCUUGGAUUUAUGGAAGACUAACUUCUGCGAAAGCAUUUGCCAAGGAUGUUUUCAUUAAUCAAGAACGAAAGUUAGGGGAUCGAAGACGAUCAGAUACCGUCGUAGUCUUAACCAUAAACUAUGCCGACUAGGGAUCAGACAUUGUUAUUUUAAUGACUUGUUUGGCACCUUAUGAGAAAUCAAAGUUUUUGGGUUCCGGGGGGAGUAUGGUCGCAAGGCUGAAACUUAAAGGAAUUGACGGAAGGGCACCACCAGGAGUGGAGCCUGCGGCUUAAUUUGACUCAACACGGGGAAACUCA